GCCGGGUUCAGCUGCAAGCUCAACUCAGGGAGUUGGAUUAACCUAAGAAAACUGACUUGGCGUCUCUUGUUGAAAGCCAUACGGUAUCCCUCCCCUCUGCUCAUAUAUUAUCAUUUCUGUUAAAGAUUCUAAGAACUACUAUCUUUGCAUAUAUAUAUUAUUCUUUCAGUUAAGAAAUGUCCUGUAAUUCAUAUGAAUUAGAAAUAUUAUCUUUUGCUUUUCAAAUAUUGUUGUUGAUAGAAUCCAAAAUUAGCCAUUUUCAAGAAUUAUUCCAGCCCAACUACUAUGCUUGUGUUUCAUGCCAGAGUCCUUCUAGAUGGCUGGUGAGUUUGGCUUCAGUUAAUGGUGCUAGGCCUUUUUCUGUUUGGCUUAAACAUAAGCAAAGCUCAAUCUUACUGAUAUAAUUUAAUGUGAAAUGAGAAUUUGUUAAUCGAUUAGCUGAAGUAAUGAGUGCAAUUUCCUGCAAGGCAAAAAUUUCUUGUUGUACUUCUAAAUCUGCUUGUAGUUGAAGGCUUGAAGAAACCAAAAUGUUCCUUCUUUGGUGUUAUCUGACGCUUUUUUGUUGAACGGUAUUUUUACACCUUUUUUGAACUUGCUGCACAGAUAUGUUUGAUGGGUACCUCUAAUUUCUGUAGUUUUUGGUCUUUGCAUGCAUUAACAACGCCCGCGAUUUCUUUAUCUGUGCAAAUCAUCAUUCUCUAUUUUUUUUUUUUUCAAUGGAAGUUGUUUUUCUUGCUUGUACAGUAUUGCUCUAUAGGUGUUUGUGUUUUUGCUUGAAUGAGAUUCAUUUUAAUUUAUAAACAAUUUUAGUAUAAUUCCAAAUUCGUGGACACAUUGCCAUCCAAAUGGAAAUUCGUGAGUCCAAAUCCUAAACAGGAGCCUUUGUUUCUUUGCAUUUUAUCCAACCUAAUUUUUGGCUUCUCUUAAUUAUCAGAUAUCAAUAGCAUCAAGAAUGUUUGUUUGUACAAGACUAUACGGAGGGGUUGAUACCCUUUGUUUAAAGAAUAGGAAAAGGAGAAGAGGAAGGGUUGGUAGUUGUAUUUUUCUUUUCUUUUCUUCAGCAAAUUUUUC
Molecule: unclassified non-coding RNA, 1071 nt
Filed under: Hevea brasiliensis (rubber tree)
Lineage: Eukaryota; Viridiplantae; Streptophyta; Magnoliopsida; Malpighiales; Euphorbiaceae
Source: RNAcentral